Molecule: ribosomal RNA, 301 nt
Filed under: uncultured bacterium
Lineage: Bacteria
Description: partial 16S ribosomal RNA
Rfam family: Bacterial small subunit ribosomal RNA
Source: RNAcentral
CAGCAGCCGCGGUAACACGUAGGGGGCAAGCGUUGUCCGGAAUCAUUGGGCGUAAAGAGCGUGUAGGCGGCUCGGUAAGUCCGCUGUGAAAGUCCAGGGCUCAACCCUGGAAUGCCGGUGGAAACUGUCGAGCUAGAGUCCGGAAGAGGCGAGUGGAAUUCCUGGUGUAGCGGUGAAAUGCGCAGAUAUCAGGAGGAACACCAAUGGCGAAGGCAGCUCGCUGGGACGGUACUGACGCUGAGACGCGAAAGCGUGGGGAGCAAACAGGAUUAGAUACCCGUGUAGUCCCUGUCUCUUAUAA